AUGUCGUCGCUCGCGGUCGGCCGCGGGCUGGACCUGGACUUGGAGUUGGGGAACUGGUUCGCGGGUCUCUUCUCUGGGCCGGAGCUUGCGGCGGCGGAGCUGCUGCUGCAGCUCAGCGUUCUCAGAGAGGCGGAGGCGGAGGCGAAGGCGAAGGCGGAGCCCACCAAGUCCUCGCGGUGUUCGGCGGGCUCGCGCUGCGAGGGGCUGUCCGUCGAGGCAGAGGAGCGGGUCGUCGAGGAGAUUCCAGCGUCGGCGUCCACGGGACUGGACAGGCGGGCGAGGAAGAGGUACCGCCUGCUGUCGGAGCUCUACGCCGACACGAUCCUCGCGAAGAAGAGGAGGAAGACGCACCACGACCACGGCGGGCCGUCAUCGGAGUCCAAGGAGACGAGGUACGGCGGAGACUACUAG
This 411-nucleotide ribosomal RNA is filed under the name Triticum aestivum (bread wheat). RNAcentral's name for it is "partial small subunit ribosomal RNA". The record is from RNAcentral. Lineage: Eukaryota; Viridiplantae; Streptophyta; Magnoliopsida; Poales; Poaceae.